GNGAGUGGGGAUGAGUCAAUCAUCAUGCCCCUUAUGACCUGGGCUACACACGUGCUACAAUGGNUGGUACAACGAGUCGCAAGCCGGUGACGGCAAGCUAAUCUCUUAAAGCCAGUCUCAGUUCGGAUUGUAGGCUGCAACUCGCCUACAUGAAGUCGGAAUCGCUAGUAAUCGCGGAUCAGCACGCCGCGGUGAAUACGUUCCCGGGCCUUGUACACACCGCCCGUCACACCACGAGAGUUUGUAACACCCGAAGUCGGUGAGGUAACCUUUUAGNANCCAGCCGCCUAAGGNGGNAUAAAUNAUUGGGGUGAANNCNUACGGGGUNAACCNAAA
This 336-nucleotide ribosomal RNA is filed under the name uncultured bacterium. RNAcentral's name for it is "partial 16S ribosomal RNA". It matches the Rfam family "Bacterial small subunit ribosomal RNA", at positions 1169 to 1506 of the family's 1533-position model. The record is from RNAcentral.